AGUCACUGACAUUAGAUACCCGGGUAGUCCCAGCCGUAAACUAUGCGCGUUAGGUGUACUGGUGACCACGAGUCACCGGGGUGCCGAAGGGAAACCGUGAAACGUGCCGCCUGGGAAGUACGGUCGCAAGGCUGAAACUUAAAGGAAUUGGCGGGGGAGCACCGCAACGGGAGGAGCGUGCGGUUUAAUUGGAUUCAACACCGUAAAACUCACCAGGGAAGACUGUUACAUGAAGGCCGAGAUGAAGACUCUGCUAGAUUUUCAG
Molecule: ribosomal RNA, 265 nt
Filed under: uncultured archaeon
Lineage: Archaea
Description: partial 16S ribosomal RNA
Rfam family: Archaeal small subunit ribosomal RNA
Source: RNAcentral